This 56-nucleotide transfer RNA is filed under the name Ascaridia galli. RNAcentral describes it as "tRNA-Gly". The record is from RNAcentral. Lineage: Eukaryota; Metazoa; Nematoda; Chromadorea; Rhabditida; Ascaridiidae.
GACUUUUUAGUAUAAUGUUGUAUUUCUAAUUUCCAAUUAGAGGGUUUUAAGAGUUA